AUUGAACGCUGGCGGCAGGCCUAACACAUGCAAGUCGAACGAGAGGCGGAGUGGCGGACAAUGUCUUGGAAACUGCCUGAUGGACGGGGAUAACUACGGUAAAAGGUAGCUAAUACCGCAAACCAUCAGAUGGGCCCAGGUGGGAUUAGCUAGUUGGUGGGGUAACGGCUCACCAAGGCGACGAGCCAUAGCAGGGCGGAGAGGAUGACCAGCCACACUGGAACUGAGACACGGUCCAGACUCCUACGGGAGGCAGCAGUGGGGAAUAUUCGACAAUGGGCGAAAGCCUGAUGCAGCCAUGCCGCGUGUAUGAAGAAGGCCUUCGGGUUGUAAAGUACUUUCAGCGGGGAGGCGUUACCCACAGAAGAAGCACCGGCUAACUCCGUGCCAGCAGCCGCGGUAAUUC
Molecule: ribosomal RNA, 406 nt
Filed under: uncultured bacterium
Lineage: Bacteria
Description: partial 16S ribosomal RNA
Rfam family: Bacterial small subunit ribosomal RNA
Source: RNAcentral